Long non-coding RNA from Astatotilapia calliptera (eastern happy), 1169 nucleotides. NCBI's taxonomy places the organism in Eukaryota, Metazoa, Chordata, Actinopteri, Cichliformes, Cichlidae. The record is from Ensembl.
CUGCGUCCCUCAGAGGGGGGAGACGAUUCGCCCGUGAGAGAAACAAGGUAGCCAGAGGAGAAGGACAAGUGUAAAUCUGAGGAGACUUUCAGAGGCAGGAGACAGGGGGACAAAUAUUGUGUCAUGUGUCCGUAAAUACCAGCAAUAAAACCAGACAAAUCCUUUGGACCUUGGAGAGCUUUCAUGCAAACAGGCUCCGGCUGGGUAGGGCAGCGCUGUUUAUCAUGAACUUGUGGAUCGUUGCAGUGUGGCAAACUGUUUGGAUGGGAUAUUAAAAGCCAUAUUUCACUUUCUUCCCCUGGUUUUGGCCACUAUCCAGCAGGUGAGGGAGUUCAAGCCUCCCGGUUCACUCAUUGAUCAACACAAAUAAGGCAACGGCACUGCUUUUAAAGGCUCUGAUACAGGAAACAAAAUUCCUUUCCUGAAAUGAGAGUUAAAACCUCACAUUUCAUCAUCAUACUUCAAGUUUGCAAGCUGUCAGUUUGAUUGUGAUUUCAGAGGUGGGCUAUGCAGUGGCAUAAAGCUACAAAUCAGCCUGUAAACGCGAUUUAUGGUCCAGUAAACUAUCAAAAUAAAAGUGGAACUAACUCAGAGAUACAGACUAAGACAAACGAAAAGUUAAACACGGAGACAAGACUGACCUCACAAAAACGACUGAGAAACAACGAAGAGAACUAAUGAACUAAUGAACUAGAAAAACAAAAAUAACAGAACUAGACUAAAAAACAAAAACCCCGAAAAAAAUUACAGAACUCAAAAACCCCACAACCCGGGAACUCUGAUGGUUUACGUUUCCUAAAAAUAUGAAAAAAGAUUUCAUUUCUAUCUUGAAUAUUUAAUUUGUUCGCAGAUGUCAAACUGUAUCUGUUCUUUGAAUUCUUGUGUUUUAAUAAUGAUGCAAAUAGAUUAAUACUCACUUUUAAUUAUUACAUAAACUUAGGGUAAAAAACUAGGUUUACAAGAAAUCAUCACAGUUUUAUUAAAAGUGGCCAAAAAUGGAAAGUUGUCAUCAGAGUGGGCGGAGCAAUCCAAAUAUCGGUAGUAUUAUUGCUAAUGCUGACUGAUACUAGCGCAAUAGGAUCGCUAUAUGUUUUAUCUUCUAAGUUUACUAUGCAGAUCGGUGAUUCUGAUACCUCAGCUGCUUGUGUUAGCUGUCAGGUCUCUUUCAC